AUGGAGCCCGCGGCGCCGAAGGAGGCGCCGCCGCCCCAGCCACAGCCCGGGGUGGAGGAGGACGGGACGCUCUCCGCGACGGCAGCUAUGGCAAGGGACGCCGCCGUGCUGUUCCAGAGCCGCCGGUACGCCGAGUGCGCCGAUGUGCUCGCGCAGCUCCUGCUCAAGAAGGAGGGUGACCCCAAGGUCCUUCAUAAUAUGGCUAUCGCAGAAUCGUUUGUGGAUGGUUGUCCUGAUCCAAAAAAGUUGCUUGAGAUUCUUGGCAAUGUUAAGAUAAGAAGCGAUGAACUUGCCUGUGCAUCUAGAGAACAAGCUGAUUCUGCCAAUGGGGUAGGGAACAAUACUUAUUCUGAACCAAGAGGCAGUGGCAUUGCACCGUUGAUUUCUGCUGCACAUAAUGCAACAGCCUAUGGAGAUGAGUUUGACACAACCAUAAUAACAUUCAACACUGCUCUUAUCCUUCAUCAUCUUCAUGAUUAUGAAUCUGCACUGUCUGUUUUGGAGCCAUUGUACCGAAAUAUUGAACCUAUUGAUGAGACAACUGCUCUUCAUGUAUGUUUUCUGUUAUUGGAUAUUACAUUAGCUUUGCAAGAUGCAUCAAAAGCCGCGGAUGUCAUUCAGUACUUGGAAAGAUCAUUUGGAGUAGCUAAUACAGGGAACCAGAAUGAAAUUGCUAGCACAGUUCAGCAGCAACCUGCUCAACUGAAACCUGCAAAAAGUAACACGCCUCCAGAUUCUGAUUCAAAUACUUGUCCUGGUGGAUCUGAGAUUCUUUCAGUUGGAAGUUUUUCGGAUGAUACACUGGAGUUUGAAUCUUUUUACUCUACUCUGGAUGGUGGAAAUCACUUGGGCAGGCCUAUCUUAAAUGAGUUCUCGAGGGCAUCAGCUGAUCUUGCUGCCACAGCUGCUGAUUUGAAAGUUAGACUACAAAUUUACAAGGUCCGGCUUCUACUUCUCACAAGGAACCUGAAGGUUGCCAAGCGAGAACUCAAAGUUCUAAUGAACAUGGCUCGUGGUAGGGAUUCAUCUACAGAGCUUCUCUUGAAAUCUCAGCUAGAGUAUGCCCGAGGAAAUUAUCGGAAGGCUGUGAAGCUUUUGAGCACCCCCAAUAAUCGGACUGAACCAGUAAUGCUAACCAUGUUCUACAACAAUCUUGGUUGUAUACUCCAUCAGCAGAGAUCCAACCAUACAUCAGUAUUGUGCUUCAGCAAAGCACUGAAAUACAGCUUAUCUCUUCGCUCAGAGAAACCAUUGAAGCUGUCUGCACUAUCACAAGACAAAUCUUGUCUGAUAUCAUACAACUGUGGGAUCCAACAUUUGAUGUGUGGUAAACCACUGUUAGCAGCUCGUUGUUUUCGUGAGGCCAUGCCGCUCUUGUACCAUCGGCCCCUCUUUUGGCUCCGUUUUGCUGAGUGUAGCCUGCUAGCUCUAGAAAUGGGCUUCCUCACUGCAAGCGGUGCUACUUCAUGCAAAGAUGAGAUUGAAAUUUAUGUUGUGGGGUCAGGGAAAUGGCGCCAUUUAGUUAUCAGUCCGGUGAACUCAGGAAGUCAUUUAUCAGAUUUUGGGAGUUCAGGUGAACAUGGAAAUUUGAUAUCACUCAGAUUUGCUAGACAGUGUCUACUCAACGCCCAACUAUUAAUGGAUGCUUCUGAGCAGAAAAAAAUGGCGAUUUCAGAUACAGAGGAGUGCAACCAAGGGUCACAAUGCCAGAAAAGUUCAGGCCAGAGCACAAUGAGUGUGGAAUCCAAAGUCCACUCUGGUCCAACAACUAAUGCAAAUGGAGAACAAAAGGGAGCCGCGAGCUUGAAUGCCACUUUGCAGAGCUCUCUUGCUAUGUAUGAUGACAUCAUUAGAAAAGAGAACCUGAAAAUUCGACAAGCCAUCCUGGGGGACCUGGCGUUCGUCGAAUUGUGUCUUGAGAAUCCCUUGAAAGCUUUGUCUAUUGCCAACUCACUGUUGCAGGUUCCAGACUGCUCCAGGAUGUACUUAUUCCUUGGCCAUGUAUAUGCAGCUGAAGCUUUAUGUUUGCUGAACAGGCUAAAGGAGGCUGUUGAUCAGUUAACUGUUUAUUUGAGAGAUGACAAUGCUAUUGAGUUGCCCUACAGUGUUGAGAAUCGUGAAAAGGCCCCUGUUGAGAAAGACAGCGAUGGCGAGGAUUCAGUCACUCCUGCCAUGACAAAACUUACCUCAGAAGAAUCUCAGCACUCAAUGUCUCUCAAGCCCGAGGAAGCCUGUGGGGUUCUGUAUGUUGACCUUGGCAUGACUGCUGCAGUGCAGGGAGAGCUUGAGCAGGCCAACUACCUGGUGAGCCGUGGUUUUGCAAUGUUGCCCAACAGCCCUAGGGCACUGCUAGCAUCCAUCUAUGUGGAUCUUCUGCAGGGGAAGGCGCAAGAAGCUAUUGGCAAGUUGAGAAGGUGCAGAAACGUGAGAUUUAAGACCAGUAGUGUAGCAGCCAGCAGAUAA
RNAcentral lists this ribosomal RNA (2463 nucleotides) under Triticum aestivum (bread wheat). Its description in RNAcentral is "partial small subunit ribosomal RNA". The record is from RNAcentral. Lineage: Eukaryota; Viridiplantae; Streptophyta; Magnoliopsida; Poales; Poaceae.